RNAcentral lists this ribosomal RNA (468 nucleotides) under uncultured bacterium. RNAcentral's name for it is "partial 16S ribosomal RNA". It matches the Rfam family "Bacterial small subunit ribosomal RNA", at positions 28 to 507 of the family's 1533-position model. The record is from RNAcentral.
GACGAACGCUGGCGGCGUGCUUAACACAUGCAAGUCGAACGGAAAGGCCCGGCGCUUGUGGGGUGCUCGAUUGGCGAACGGGUGAGUAACACGUGAGUAACCUGCCCUUGACUGUGGGAUAACUUCAGGAAACUGGGGAGAAAAUCGGAGAGGAGCUCCUGCAGCAUGGGGGGGGUUGGAAAGAGUCGGCGGUGGGGGAUGGACUCGCGGGUUAUCAGCUUGUUGGUGGGGUAGGGGCUUACCAAGGCUUUGACGGGUAGCCGGCCUGAGAGGGUGACCGGCCACCUUGGGCCUGCGGUACGGCCCAGUAUCCUACGGGCGGCAGAAGUGGGGAACCUUGCACAGUGGGCCGACGCCUGAUGCAGCGACGCCGCGUGCGGGAUGCCGGCCUUCGGGUUGUAAACCGCUUUCGCCUGUGCCGAAGCGUGCGUGACGGUAACGAGUCAAGAAGCCCCGGCUAACUACGUG